AUAUCAAUAAGCGGAGGAAAAGAAACCAACAGGGAUUGCCUCAGUAACGGCGAGUGAAGCGGCAAGAGCUCAAAUUUGAAAUCCGACUUCGGUCCGAGUUGUAAUUUGUAGAGGGCAUUUCGAGAGCGAUGUCGGCCUAAGUUCCUUGGAACAGGAUGUCAUAGAGGGUGAGAAUCCCGUAUGCGGCCGAAGGUCAAUCUUAUGUGAAAUCCCUUCGACGAGUCGAGCUGUUUGGGAAUGCAGCUCAAAAUGGGUGGUAAAUUUCAUCUAAAGCUAAAUACCGGCCAGAGACCGAUAGCGCACAAGUAGAGUGAUCGAAAGAUGAAAAGCACUUUGGAAAGAGAGUUAAACAGUACGUGAAAUUGUUGAAAGGGAAGCGCUUGCCAUUAGACCGAUCGUCGGGUUGUAGGCUCUGCUUUUGCGGAGCCGUAACGCACCCUUCUCUCGGCCAGCAUCGGUUUCGGUGGCUCAACAAAGAUCGUCGGAACGUGGCUCUUCGGAGUGUUAUAGCCGACGGUGUCAUGGAGCCUACUGGGACCGAGGACCGCGCUUCGGCUAGGAUGCUGGCGUAAUGAUGGCAAGCGACCCGUCUUGAAACACGGACCAAGGAGUCUAACAUCUAUGCGAGUGUUUGGGUGUCAAACCCAUGCGCGGAAUGAAAGUGAACGGAGGUGAGAACCUUUGGGUGCAUCAUCGACCGAUCCUGAUGUCUUCGGAUGGAUUUGAGUAGGAGCAUAGCCGUUGGGACCCGAAAGAUGGUGAACUAUGCGUGAAUAGGGUGAAGCCAGAGGAAACUCUGGUGGAGGCUCGCAGCGGUUCUGACGUGCAAAUCGAUCGUCAAAUUUGCGCAUAGGGGCGAAAGACCAAUCGAACUAUCUAGUAGCUGGUUCCUGC
RNAcentral lists this ribosomal RNA (894 nucleotides) under Knightiellastrum eucalypti. RNAcentral describes it as "eukaryotic LSU rRNA". It matches the Rfam family "Eukaryotic large subunit ribosomal RNA", at positions 40 to 961 of the family's 3401-position model. The record is from RNAcentral. Lineage: Eukaryota; Fungi; Ascomycota; Lecanoromycetes; Pertusariales; Icmadophilaceae.